UCUUUAGGGUUCACGCCCAGAAGAGCCACAGUGAAUAGGCCCAAGCGACUGUUUAUCAAAAACACAGGUCUCUGCUAAACCGUAAGGUGAUGUAUAGGGGCUGACGCCUGCCCGGUGCUGGAAGGUUAAGAGGAGUGGUUAGCUUCUGCGAAGCUACGAAUCGAAGCCCCAGUAAACGGCGGCCGUAACUAUAACGGUCCUAAGGUAGCGAAAUUCCUUGUCGGGUAAGUUCCGACCCCCA
RNAcentral lists this ribosomal RNA (241 nucleotides) under Mycobacterium tuberculosis. RNAcentral describes it as "partial 23S ribosomal RNA". It matches the Rfam family "Bacterial large subunit ribosomal RNA", at positions 1752 to 1992 of the family's 2925-position model. Lineage: Bacteria; Bacillati; Actinomycetota; Actinomycetes; Mycobacteriales; Mycobacteriaceae. The record is from RNAcentral.